This is a small nuclear RNA of Astyanax mexicanus (Mexican tetra), 169 nucleotides long. Its record names the gene U1. It matches the Rfam family "U1 spliceosomal RNA". From Rfam's summary of the family: U1 is a small nuclear RNA (snRNA) component of the spliceosome (involved in pre-mRNA splicing). Its 5' end forms complementary base pairs with the 5' splice junction, thus defining the 5' donor site of an intron. Lineage: Eukaryota; Metazoa; Chordata; Actinopteri; Characiformes; Acestrorhamphidae. The record is from Ensembl.
AUACUUACCUGCAGGGGAGAUAACCAUGAUCCAAGAAGGUGGUUCACCCAGGGUGAGCCUCGUCCAUUGCACUUCCGGAUGUUGACGACCCCUGCCGAAUUCCCAAAUGUGGGGAAUCUCGACUGCAUAAUUUCUGGUAGUGGGGGGACUGCGUUCGCGCUCUCCCUGA